Molecule: ribosomal RNA, 1323 nt
Filed under: Escherichia coli
Lineage: Bacteria; Pseudomonadati; Pseudomonadota; Gammaproteobacteria; Enterobacterales; Enterobacteriaceae
Description: partial 23S ribosomal RNA
Rfam family: Bacterial large subunit ribosomal RNA
Source: RNAcentral
GAGGAAAAGAAAUCAACCGAGAUUCCCCCAGUAGCGGCGAGCGAACGGGGAGCAGCCCAGAGCCUGAAUCAGUAUGUGUGUUAGUGGAAGCGUCUGGAAAGGCGCGCGAUACAGGGUGACAGCCCCGUACACAAAAAUGCACAUGCUGUGAGCUCGAUGAGUAGGGCGGGACACGUGGUAUCCUGUCUGAAUAUGGGGGGACCAUCCUCCAAGGCUAAAUACUCCUGACUGACCGAUAGUGAACCAGUACCGUGAGGGAAAGGCGAAAAGAACCCCGGCGAGGGGAGUGAAAAAGAACCUGAAACCGUGUACGUACAAGCAGUGGGAGCACGCUUAGGCGUGUGACUGCGUACCUUUUGUAUAAUGGGUCAGCGACUUAUAUUCUGUAGCAAGGUUAACCGAAUAGGGGAGCCGAAGGGAAACCGAGUCUUAACUGGGCGUUAAGUUGCAGGGUAUAGACCCGAAACCCGGUGAUCUAGCCAUGGGCAGGUUGAAGGUUGGGUAACACUAACUGGAGGACCGAACCGACUAAUGUUGAAAAAUUAGCGGAUGACUUGUGGCUGGGGGUGAAAGGCCAAUCAAACCGGGAGAUAGCUGGUUCUCCCCGAAAGCUAUUUAGGUAGCGCCUCGUGAAUUCAUCUCCGGGGGUAGAGCACUGUUUCGGCAAGGGGGUCAUCCCGACUUACCAACCCGAUGCAAACUGCGAAUACCGGAGAAUGUUAUCACGGGAGACACACGGCGGGUGCUAACGUCCGUCGUGAAGAGGGAAACAACCCAGACCGCCAGCUAAGGUCCCAAAGUCAUGGUUAAGUGGGAAACGAUGUGGGAAGGCCCAGACAGCCAGGAUGUUGGCUUAGAAGCAGCCAUCAUUUAAAGAAAGCGUAAUAGCUCACUGGUCGAGUCGGCCUGCGCGGAAGAUGUAACGGGGCUAAACCAUGCACCGAAGCUGCGGCAGCGACGCUGAUGCGUUGUUGGGUAGGGGAGCGUUCUGUAAGCCUGCGAAGGUGUGCUGUGAGGCAUGCUGGAGGUAUCAGAAGUGCGAAUGCUGACAUAAGUAACGAUAAAGCGGGUGAAAAGCCCGCUCGCCGGAAGACCAAGGGUUCCUGUCCAACGUUAAUCGGGGCAGGGUGAGUCGACCCCUAAGGCGAGGCCGAAAGGCGUAGUCGAUGGGAAACAGGUUAAUAUUCCUGUACUUGGUGUUACUGCGAAGGGGGGACGGAGAAGGCUAUGUUGGCCGGGCGACGGUUGUCCCGGUUUAAGCGUGUAGGCUGGUUUUCCAGGCAAAUCCGGAAAAUCAAGGCUGAGGCGUGAUGACGAGGCACU